Molecule: long non-coding RNA, 829 nt
Organism: Marmota monax (woodchuck)
Lineage: Eukaryota; Metazoa; Chordata; Mammalia; Rodentia; Sciuridae
Exons: 3
Source: RefSeq, a predicted model, not a curated record
GGGGCGUGGCAGCGCGGAAAGGGGACCGGGCUGGGGCCGGUGACGGCGGGGGCGCGGUUCCACCAGGGCUCGAGGCUCCACGAGGGCACGAGGCUCCUUGGAGCCUUGGGUCUCGCCUCGCGGUGAGAAGGCGGCUGGCCGACCUUUGUUCUUUCGAGACAAAGCCCUGAACUUGGGUCCUCGCGCUGCGCAGAUGAAACCAGAACUGAAAAUUGCAGAACUGAGAAUUAUAAUCAAGCUGGGUCCUUAAUGACAUUAUUGAUCCACCGUCCAUCUAUACUAAGCUGCUUCUCCCAAUUAGGAAACUGGAAGGACUACUUCAGCAAAAUAAGGAAAUAAAAAAAGAACAUGGAAGAUGUGGAAAAGAAGAUACAACAAGAAAAGUAGCAAGGAAAAUCCUAAGGUGGCACGAGGGGAUAUCCCAGAACUUCAAGGAAACAACAGUACCGGAAAUGAGGAGGAAGAAAGAGGGCUCCAGAGGCAGCUCAGAAAAAAUUUAAAAAUAAAUAAAUAAUGUUAAAGUGUUUUCAGCAUUAAAAAAAAAAAUGGGAUUGGGGGCUGGGGUUGUAGCUCAGUGGCAGAGCAUUUGCCUAGCAUGUAUAAGGCACUGGGUUCAAUCCUCAGCACCACAUAAAAGUAAAUAAAAUAAAGGUAUUGUGUCCAUCUACAACUAAAAAAAUAUAUAUAUGAAAUUGGGCUGGGGUUGUGGCUCAGCGGUAGAGCAUUUGCCUAGCAUAUGCAAGGCCUUGGGUUCGAUCCCCAGCACCACAUAAAAAUAAAUAAAGUUAUGGCAUCCAACUACAACUAAAUAAAUAUUUAUAUAUAUAUA